This is a long non-coding RNA of Bos grunniens (domestic yak), 2115 nucleotides long. The record is from Ensembl. Lineage: Eukaryota; Metazoa; Chordata; Mammalia; Artiodactyla; Bovidae.
AUGACAUCUCAUCCUACAAGCAAAGAAACUAGUCCCGAGAGGGCGUGUUCCCUGGGUCAAAAGCACACAGCUGGUGAGGCGGUGGUCCACAUUGAAACUCCAAGCUGUUCAGUCUUCCUGACCCUCCUGCUCACCGGCGGUGGGCCAGUUCCCUUGGUGCUCAUAGGGACGCCCCACAAGAUACUGUUCCCCAUGGUGGUGGAGGAGACCAUGCUCUGGAGGAGGAGGCAGAUUGGUGACAGCCCACUUGCCCAGACACCAGUGGGGAGAGUCAUUUACAGGAUCCAGUCCUGUGUUCUUUAUCUGGAGGAACUUUGCGGUUCAGAAAUCCCCUGGAAAUUGCAUACACAGUUUUCUGCAUCUGGGAAGGAGAACCCAUCUCUUUCAGUCGAGUCCCAGAGGGGGUCCUCCGUGUGCAAGACGUUUGGACCAUAACCUCUCUACCCUCGGUGUGUGGGUGGGACGAGGUGCAGAGACUAGAAGAGGCUUGUCCCGGGUUGCCUGACUCCCAGGCGUCCGCAGGGAGGCAGUAUCACCCAGCGUUUGAGAGGCUGGCCCGGACUCAGACCCGCCACCUCUCCAGGUCCUGUGUACUGCUCUGGGCUCCUCACUCAACUUCUUGGACCUCAGAGCCCCUAAGGAUGACACAAGAGAGAGAGGGUAAUCACAGCCUCCUUCUGUGAUUACUGAGUGUGGAUAUGUGUUCCCGGGGUGUGGGAAGCUCUUCCCAGAGACCACACUGUGGUCAGAGGCCUACUCUUUCUGAAUGCAGUGGGGUCAGCGCCCCUUAGUCCCCGUUAGCGGUCAUGGUUUACUCAGCUCAUCCACUGGUGAGGUCAGGGGCUCUUGCGUCAGGAGACUUCAGGCCUCUCAGAAGCCUGGUUAGAUAUUCAGAGCCCAGGUGCUGAAGCCAGACCACGGAUGCCAGCCUCCUGAAUCCCCACCGUCUGUCCGCUAGGCUACGGUUAUCCCUGGGCUUGUCUGCAGUGCUCAGGGUCACGCAGACACGGCCACAGCUCUCCUGGCCUGUGCCUGAGCGAGGCAACUGUCCCCCAGGAUGGUGCGGAGCCCCAGCACCUCCCACCUGCUGGUUCUGGGCUGGUCUCUCAGAGAUCCGAGGACCUCCACCCCACCCCUGCCCCCAGCCCUCCCACCCUCUGUGUGAGGAUGUACAGUGGCUGAGCAGGGAGAGUGCAGUCAGGACACCAGUAAUCCACCCCCCACCCCACACCUCCUGGUGAAACUGGGCUCCUCAGCUGCCCCCACCCGUCCUCACCAUUUCUGACAUUCUCCUGAAGAGCCCAUGGGACUCUCACUUUGCCGGGUUGUUGGUAUAAUAAAACCUUUUAAAAAAUUACCCUCUGAUCUUUUUAUUCUAAAGGAACACAACAGACUUCAUCGUUGCAAAGAGCCCUCUUAUUUUGUGACUGUGUGUGUGUGGCUGGAGGUCCCCUCCGGAUACUGUUCUGAGCUGUGGCGACGGGCAGGGGUGUGAGACUCGGGGCAGGAGUCCAGUCCCCACCGUGGGCUCUGGCUCCCCCGCCUGUGAUGGAGGUGGUGGGACCAGACGAACUCUAGAGGCAGUUUCGUGCAGAGCCUUCUAGCACUCUGGGAGGUCUUUGGAGACCCUCUGGGGAGGCUGAAGGGCCUAGAAGGUGGGUCCUGAGCCCUUAGCUCCCCAGCAGCUUGCCCUUUAUCUGCUUUGUAUUUACUGAGGUUCCCUGUAGGAUUUUAUUUGAAGAAAGGGUCUUGGUGAUUAAACAAAGCAAAGCAAAGAAGCCACUACUCUUUGAGUUUUUGCAGGGAAGGACUGUGGCUGUCACGAAAAUCCUCUGCAGAUAUUUGCUGAAUGAAGGAAAGGUGAGUGAACUCUUCCUGGGUUGUUGCUUGAGUCUAGCUCUGAGCCGCCCCCAGUAGGCUGCUGCUGCUGCUAAGUUGCUUCAGUCGUGUCCGACUCUGUGUGAUCCCAGAGACAGCAGCCCACCAGGCUCCGCCGUCCCUGGGAUUCUCCAGGCAAGAACACUGGAGUGGGUUGCCAUUUCCUUCUCCAGUGCAUGAAAGUGAAAAGUGAAAGUGAAGUCGCUCAGUCAUGUCUGACUCUUCCUGACCCCGUGG